RNAcentral lists this ribosomal RNA (621 nucleotides) under Clostridium perfringens. Its description in RNAcentral is "partial 23S ribosomal RNA". It matches the Rfam family "Bacterial large subunit ribosomal RNA", at positions 1239 to 1872 of the family's 2925-position model. Lineage: Bacteria; Bacillati; Bacillota; Clostridia; Eubacteriales; Clostridiaceae. The record is from RNAcentral.
UCGUAACCGGGCUGAAGUCGUACCGUAAGGAGCGGUGGACUGGUUACGAGUGAGAAUGUUGGCAUCAGUAGCGAGAUGUGGGUGAGAAUCCCACAGGCCGAAAACCUAAGGUUUCCUCAGGAAGGUUCGUCCGCUGAGGGUUAGUCGGGACCUAAGCCGAGGCCGAAAGGCGUAGGUGAUGGACAACUGGUUGAUAUUCCAGUACCACUACCAUCGUUAUUAUCGAUGGCGUGACGCAGGAGGAUAGUGUGUGCUAGCUAUUGGAUGCUAGUCUAAGCGUUUAGGCAGUGAGAGUAGGCAAAUCCGCUCUCAUAAUGCUGAGGCGUGAUGGGGAAGGUUCUACGGAACCGAAGUACAUGAUUCCACGCUGCCAAGAAAAGCGUCUAGAGAGAGAAGUAGUGCCCGUACCGCAAACCGACACAGGUAGGUGAGGAGAGAAUCCUAAGGCCGGCGGAAGAAUUACAGUUAAGGAACUCGGCAAAUUGACCCCGUAAGUUCGCGAGAAGGGGUGCCUACGAGAGUAGGCCGCAGAGAAUAGGCCCAAGCAACUGUUUAGCAAAAACACAGGUCUCUGCUAAAGCGUAAGCUGAUGUAUAGGGGCUGACGCCUGCCCGGUGCUGG